Molecule: long non-coding RNA, 1041 nt
Organism: Homo sapiens (human)
Lineage: Eukaryota; Metazoa; Chordata; Mammalia; Primates; Hominidae
Source: Ensembl
CAUCAAACACUGAUGCCAGUUAAAGUAAAGCCACAUAACAUUUGGGUUUUAGCAGUUAAACUGCUACCACGUGGAAUUAUAUUAUUACUUGGUAGCAGUCAACAAUAAGAAAUGAAAAAUUAUGCUUCUGUGAAACAGUUCAUUCUUCUGGGAUUAACAGAUGACCCAAAGCUAAAUGUUUUGAUUUUUAUAUUUCUAUUUUUUACAUAUAUACUGAGUAUAACUGGGAACCUGACAAUUAUUACUCUCACUUUGAUAGAUGUGCACCUCAAAACACCCAUGUACUUUUUCCUUAGGAAUUUCUCUUUUCUAGAAAUCUCAUUCACAACAGUUUGUAUUCCUAGGUUUCUGGUCAGCAUCGUAACAGGGGAUAAGACCAUUUCUUAUAAUUCUUGCAUGGCCCAGGUAUUUUUCUUUAUACUCCUUGGUUCAACAGAAUUUUUCCUUUUGACUGCUAUGUCCUAUGAUUGUUAUGUUGCUAUCUGUAAGCCACUGCACUACACAACAAUAAUGAACAGCAGAGUCUGCAUCCAGCUUGUAAUUAGCUCUUGGCUAGCUGGAUUUCUCAUUAUCUUUCCACCUGUAAUUAUGGGGCUUCAACUGGAUUUCUGUGACUCCAACAUCAUUGAUCACUUUACCUGUGAUUCCUCUCCUAUGCUACUGAUCUCCUGCACAGACACAGCGUUUCUAGAGUUCAUGGGAUUUUUCCUGGCCAUAUUCACUCUCAUGGUAACCUUAACAUUAGUGAUUCUUUCCUAUGUAUUCAUCCUUAAGACAAUCCUGAGAAUUCCUUCUGCUGAACAAAGGAAAAAGGCCUUUUCCACUUGUUCUUCACACAUGAUUGUUGUCUCCAUUUCUUAUGGAAGCUGCAUUUUCAUGUAUGUCAAAACAUCAGCAAAAGAAGGAGUGGCUUUGACCAAGGGUAUAGCAGUGCUCAAUACCUCUGUAGCCCCAGUGUUAAAUCCUUUUACUUACUCCCUAAGGAACCAGUAGGUAAAACAGUCUUUUCAGAACUUGAUCAAAAAAUGUUUUUCAAAUAAA